RNAcentral lists this ribosomal RNA (434 nucleotides) under uncultured bacterium. Its description in RNAcentral is "bacterial SSU rRNA". It matches the Rfam family "Bacterial small subunit ribosomal RNA", at positions 340 to 767 of the family's 1533-position model. The record is from RNAcentral.
UACGGGAGGCAGCAGUGGGGAAUAUUGCACAAUGGGCGCAAGCCUGAUGCAGCCAUGCCGCGUGUAUGAAAAAGGCCUUCGGGUUGUAAAGUACUUUCAGUCGUGAGGAAGGUGUUAAGGUUAAUAACCUUAGCAAUUGACGUUAGCGACAGAAGAAGCACCGGCUAACUCCGUGCCAGCAGCCGCGGUAAUACGGAGGGUGCGAGCGUUAAUCGGAAUUACUGGGCGUAAAGGGCACGCAGGCGGUUAAUUAAGUUGGAUGUGAAAUCCCCGGGCUUAACCUGGGAAUGGCAUUCAAGACUGGUUAGCUAGAGUCUUGUAGAGGGGGUAGAAUUCCAUGUGUAGCGGUGAAAUGCGUAGAGAUGUGGAGGAAUACCGGUGGCGAAGGCGGCCCCGUGGACAAAGACUGACGCUCAUGUGCGAAAGCGUGGGGA